Molecule: ribosomal RNA, 497 nt
Filed under: uncultured bacterium
Lineage: Bacteria
Description: partial 16S ribosomal RNA
Rfam family: Bacterial small subunit ribosomal RNA
Source: RNAcentral
GAUGAACGCUGGCGGCGUGCCUAAUACAUGCAAGUCGAGCGAACGGACGAGAAGCUUGCUUUUCUGAUGUUAGCGGCGGACGGGUGAGUAACACGUGGAUAACCUACCUAUAAGACUGGGAUAACUUCGGGAAACCGGAGCUAAUACCGGAUAAUAUUUUGAACCGCAUGGUUCAAAAGUGAAAGACGGUCUUGCUGUCACUUAUAGAUGGAUCCGCGCUGCAUUAGCUAGUUGGUAAGGUAACGGCUUACCAAGGCAACGAUGCAUAGCCGACCUGAGAGGGUGAUCGGCCACACUGGAACUGAGACACGGUCCAGACUCCUACGGGAGGCAGCAGUAGGGAAUCUUCCGCAAUGGGCGAAAGCCUGACGAAGCAACGCCGCGUGAGUGAUGAAGGUCGUCGGAUCGUAAAACUCUGUUAUUAGGGAAGAACAUAUGUGUAAGUAACUGUGCACAUCUUGACGGUACCUAAUCAGAAAGCCACGGCUAACUACGUG